Molecule: long non-coding RNA, 1749 nt
Filed under: Vigna radiata
Lineage: Eukaryota; Viridiplantae; Streptophyta; Magnoliopsida; Fabales; Fabaceae
Description: long non-coding RNA (VRAD_LNC014610)
Source: RNAcentral
UGGAGAUACAAUUUGGAGCAUUGGGAAGGAGACCAAAUAAAUUCAAGACUCUCUGAAUAGAGAUUUUAAAUUUACUUAUAUUGUAAUUUAAUUGUUUAAACUUUUUGGACAAUCUUUUACAAAUUGGACCAUUGUUAAAAAUUUAUGAUAGGCCCAAAGUUGUAGGACACUUAUCACCCUAGGGUUUUAGGAUGGACCCCACCCAUUUUAAGACACACAACCCUAGAGAGGGAACAUUCCCUUUUUUCAGCCGUCGUUAUUUUUGGGAUUCACUCUCGGCAGGUUGGGAGAGGGCUGUCACACUUGGCUUUGAAAGUGGUUGGAAGAAGUUUUUGUGGAAAACAAUGUUUAUGUUUUUAGAUGGUGGUUGAAUAAAAGAAGUUUUUUUUUUUUUAGCUGGAACCUUUUCUUUGCUUGCCGAAAACGCACUUGUAUGCUGGUUAUAUUUUGUGGCAUGGAAGAAUCAUAGUUUGGCCCUUCAUUUUGGUUCUUUUGUGCAUUUUUAAGUGAAGAUUUAUAUUGUUUUUUUGUGGUGGAAUGGGAUAAAGGAAUCCAUCCAGCGUCACACACCCUUUUCUUUUUUUUCUUUUUUUUUUCUUUUACUUUGCAAGUUCUGGAGAAGCAUCCUUUGCUAUUUCAUUUUAGGUUUGCACGCACCUUUUAAUUGAAGCAAGAAGAGUCAGCAAUGCAUUGUUUGGUAUCACAUUACAGCCACGGUUCAUAUUUCAUUUUCUCAUUCUUUUCGGAAACUGAAACGCUGAUGCAGCAUGGAGGGCACAUUCUCAUUUUUAUUUUCAUUUGCAUUGCAAUCAAUUUUUUUUAGAAUGGAGUAAUUUAUUUUGCUUUUAUUUUGUUGACCUUGGGAAUGCAAAGAGAAAAAGCUUAUUAAUUUUGAUAGAAAGAAAUGUAGUACGGUGACAGGGAGUAGUCUUGUCACAUUUUGCAAGGAAGAGAGUUGCACCUAAAUUUUAGUGUGAAUGAAGAAUUCAUUAGGAGUUGGUGUGCAGGGAUAUUCAAGUCCUGGCAGAGGGAGGCACGGUCCAGCCACAUGCUUAGUUUUUUUUUUAUCUUUGAAUUUUUAUUUUUUUUUUAAUGAAAAAAGGUGCAGCGUGAAGAGGUUGGGGGCAACUAUCACUUCAAAUGCACUCUGUUUUUGCUUACUUGAAUUUAGAGAAUGAGACAUUACUUUUUUUUUUGCUGGAUUAUGAUGGUGAUUAAUUUUAUUUUGCAGGAGGUGUACUUAGGUCACGGUUAGCAAUAGAAAAAGGUUUAUGUUUUCUAUUUAUUUUGCCUUAGAAUAUUUUACAUUAUAGGUUGAGUUGUUUCUAAUCUUUUUGAUUUAGCAUUGCAUUUUAAUGGCUUUAAUUGUGGUUAGAUAUUUUUUUGCUCUAGUAUUGGGUUUAGCGUUUUCACUCUCUUUAAUGUUUUCUAUCAUGUUCGAAUGUGUUUAAUUUUUAUUUUUAAUUUCGUCAGUUGCAUUCAUAAACAAAACUUUUCACCAAAACCCCCCACUUUGUGUUAGACCUGAUUCUCGAACCACAGUUUGGUCCUUGAGAGACGACCUAGGAGUCACUUCCUAGUACUAUACUGCACUCCUAAAUGCAAUCAAAUUUGUAUGGGCCGCGACACCCAUCAGUGGUCUUAUUCAUUUUAUAUUUUGUUCUCUUGAUUGUAAUCUGUAAAAAUUUUUUUAAUGGAACUGUUAAUCACUCUUUACAGUGAUUAACGACUGGACCUAGAUUCUGUUGA